This 361-nucleotide ribosomal RNA is filed under the name uncultured bacterium. RNAcentral describes it as "partial 16S ribosomal RNA". It matches the Rfam family "Bacterial small subunit ribosomal RNA", at positions 338 to 696 of the family's 1533-position model. The record is from RNAcentral.
CCUACGGGCGGCAGCAGUGAGGAAUAUUGGUCAAUGGACGAGAGUCUGAACCAGCCAAGUAGCGUGAAGGAUGACUGCCCUAUGGGUUGUAAACUUCUUUUAUAUGGGAAUAAAACAGGGUAUGCAUACCCUCUUGUAUGUACCAUAUGAAUAAGGAUCGGCUAACCUCGUGCCAGCAGCCGCGGUAAUACGGAGGAUACGAGCGUUAUCCGGAUUUAUUGGGUUUAAGGGGAGCGUAGGUGGAUUGUUAAGUCAGAUGUGAAAGUUUGCGGCUCAACCGGAGAAGUGCAUUGGAAACUGGCAGUCUUGAGUACAGUAGAGGUGGGCGGAAUUCGUGGUGUAGCGGUGAAAUGCGUAGAUA